GACGAACGCUGGCGGCGUGCUUAACACAUGCAAGUCGAACGGAAAGGCCCUGCUUUUGUGGGGUGCUCGAGUGGCGAACGGGUGAGUAACACGUGAGUAACCUGCCCUUGACUUUGGGAUAACUUCAUGAAACUGGGGCUAAUACCGGAUAGGAGCUCCUGCUGCAUGGUGGGGGUGGGAAAGUUUCGGCGGUUGGGGAUGGACUCGCGGCUUAUCAGCUUGUUGGUGGGGUAGUGGCUUACCAAGGCUUUGACGGGUAGCCGGCCUGAGAGGGUGACCGGACACAUUGGGACUGAGAUAAGGCCCAGACCACUACGGGAGGGAGCAGUGGGGAAUAUUGCACAAUGGGCGGAAGCCUGAUGCAGCAACGCCGCGUGCGGGAUGACGGCCUUCGGGUUGUAAACCGCUUUCGCCUGUGACGAAGAGUGAGUGACGGUAAUGGGUAAAGAAGCACCGGCUAACUACGUG
Molecule: ribosomal RNA, 468 nt
Filed under: uncultured bacterium
Lineage: Bacteria
Description: partial 16S ribosomal RNA
Rfam family: Bacterial small subunit ribosomal RNA
Source: RNAcentral